GCCGGAAGCCAGUGGUCCCGGAUGUCGCAAAAGGGAGCUGACACGCGCACAUGCGAGUAAGCAAAAAGUUACGCUCGCCUACGCUCGAGGCGCCUGCUGUUCCAAGUAUAAGCGUGGCAAGGUAGAGCAAAAGAGACGGGAAGAGAAGGGAAGACGUAAAACGCACGGUCAACGGCCUGUUCUUUGCGGGAAUUCUAAAUACAUUUAACGUACAAGCCAAUGCGUUACCGUUACGGUUGCACUGUCACUAGAAAAGUUCACUGGUCCUUUUCUCUGGUUAUCUUUGAUAAAGUUAAAUGUGCUCGACCGAAUUUACUUCUGAAUUUUCAAGCUUCUUGUCAGUGUUGAUGGACAUAUGACAUCAAUGGUGUCACGAGUGUGGUUCGACCCAGCCAACCCUCGAACUCCCCAAAAUCGAGAACAUAAAAUCGGCUGUGGAAAAUCGUUCGGAUAGAUAUAUAUUUUCUCCGUAUAUUGCACAUAUUUUUAGGUAAGCAGCGAAAUAAUACGAAAUUAGAACGCUCGCGGCCUUUGUACGAGCCGACGUCGUCAUUAGUCGUUUGAAGGCUCACGAUGUACGUUACGUUACGUUACGUAUGUUCCAAUCUACCAUCGUUCUAUCCCUGGGAGGCAUUAUUAUCGCCAGUAUCCAGAAUAGCAAUGUAAGCGUGUGUGGCCUUUUCGACUAAUCUCAUCAGCUUGCUUUCAUCGGUUAUUCAAAUUCGGAUGUCCAAUGGUAACCAGAUGUAUUUAUUAAUUAAUCUAACUGAUAUUCUCGUAAAGCAAUUUACUUUAUCUCUUAUUCUUAUUUCAUAUUUGAUAUAAAUAUAUAUGUAUUGUAUAUGUGUAACAUAUUUGAAAAU
This is a long non-coding RNA of Polistes canadensis, 863 nucleotides long. RefSeq lists it as uncharacterized. The record is from RefSeq and is a predicted model, not a curated record. The transcript is spliced from 3 exons. NCBI's taxonomy places the organism in Eukaryota, Metazoa, Arthropoda, Insecta, Hymenoptera, Vespidae.